Molecule: ribosomal RNA, 1667 nt
Filed under: Nothobranchius kuhntae (Beira killifish)
Lineage: Eukaryota; Metazoa; Chordata; Actinopteri; Cyprinodontiformes; Nothobranchiidae
Description: 16S ribosomal RNA
Rfam family: Bacterial large subunit ribosomal RNA
Source: RNAcentral
ACUUAAAAGCUAGCUAUACAUAUAAUCAACAAACAAAUAUCAAUUCCUAUUAAUACACUAAAAAUUUAGUUAAACCAUUUUUCACAUCUUAGUAUAGGCGAUAGAAAAGGAAAUCUAAGCUACAGAUCAAGUACCGCAAGGGAAUGCUGAAAGAGAAGUGAAAUAACUCAGUAAAGUAUAACAAAGCAGAGAUAAACACUCGUACCUUUUGCAUCAUGAUUUAGCAAGAAUAAAUUAAGCAAAAUGUUUUCUAGUUUAUUAACCCGAAACUAAGUGAGCUACUCCAGGACAGCCUAAGAAAAGGGCAAACACGUCUCUGUGGCAAAAGAGUGUGAAGAUCCUUGGGUAGAGGUGACAGACCUACCGAACUUAGUUAUAGCUGGUUGUCUGGGACUUGGAUAGGAGUUUAGCCUUUAAUUUUCUAAAUUUAAUCUUGACUAAUCAUUAAGACAAUAAAAGAAUGUUAAAGAGUUAUUCACAAGGGGUUCAGCCCUUAUGAAAAAGGAUACAACCUUAUCAGGUGAUUAAAGAACACACACACAUAAAGUCAAUGUUCUAGUGGGCUUAAAAGCAGCCACCUAAGAAAAAAGCGUUAAAGCUCAGACAUUAACACUACUUUUAAUAAAGAUUUAUUAUUUAACAUCCCUUAAAUUACCAGACCUCUCCAUUUUAUAAUGGAAGAGAUCAUGCUAAUAUGAGUAAUAAGAAACCUUUCUCCAAGCACCCCUGUAAUUAGGGACGGAAAAUCCUCCUAAAAUUACCGGUCCCAACAAAAGAGGGAAUAGAAUAACAAAACGACAACAAGAAAAUUAUUUUAACAUAACCGUUAACCCAACACUGGAGUGCAUUUUUAGGAAAGAUAAAAAGAAAAAGAAGGAACUCGGCAAAUAUAUUUAAAGCCUCGCCUGUUUACCAAAAACAUAGCUUCUUGGACAUUAAAAAUAAGAAGUCCCGCCUGCCCCAUGACAAAAUUUAAUGGCCGCGGUAUUUUGACCGUGCAAAGGUAGCGCAAUCACUUGUCUUUUAAAUGAAGACCUGUAUGAAUGGCAUAACGAGGGCUUAACUGUCUCCUUUCUCUUAUCAAUGAAAUUGAUCUUCUCGUGCAGAAGCGGGAAUAAAAACAUAAGACGAGAAGACCCUAUGGAUCUUUAGUCGCAAGAAUAGAACAUAUUUAAAUCACUCGAACUAAUGAGUAUAACAUAGUGAAAACUAUUCAAGUGGCUUUGGUUGGGGCGACCGUGGAGAAAAACAAAACCUCCUUGAGGAAUGAAGUAACUUCUUCCAAUCCUAGAGUGACAACUCUAAGAAAUAGAAAUUCUAACCGCAAUGAUCCGGCAAAGCCGAUCAACGAACCGAGUUACCCUAGGGAUAACAGCGCAAUCCUCUUUUAGAGCCCAUAUCGACAAGAGGGUUUACGACCUCGAUGUUGGAUCAGGACAUCCUAAUGGUGCAGCAGCUAUUAAGGGUUCGUUUGUUCAACGAUUAAAGUCCUACGUGAUCUGAGUUCAGACCGGAGUAAUCCAGGUCAGUUUCUAUCUAUGAUAUAUCUUACUCUAGUACGAAAGGACCGAGUAAAAAAGGCCAAUGAUCAAUUAAGCCUUUUUCUUUACUUAUGAAAACAAAUAAAUAAGAAAAAGAUAAUACUAACUAGGAAGAGAUAAUUCCAC